Molecule: non-coding RNA, 87 nt
Filed under: Pseudomonas knackmussii B13
Lineage: Bacteria; Pseudomonadati; Pseudomonadota; Gammaproteobacteria; Pseudomonadales; Pseudomonadaceae
Source: RNAcentral
CUCGAUGGCGGGCCGUAUGGGGAGACCUUCGGGUCUGCCGGUCCUUUGGUCCCGGUUCUGCUAACCCUGUACGGCUCCGCCUCCAAC